This 1050-nucleotide ribosomal RNA is filed under the name Biston falcata satura. RNAcentral describes it as "partial 16S ribosomal RNA". The record is from RNAcentral. Lineage: Eukaryota; Metazoa; Arthropoda; Insecta; Lepidoptera; Geometridae.
AUUAAUAAUUAAUAUAUUUAAUAAAAAUAAUUUUAAUUUAAUAAGUAUUUUAAUGGGGGUUAAAGUAUUUUUUAAAGAAAAAAUUUUUAAAUUUAUAGUUAAUUAGUAUUGUGAAAGAAUUUUGAAAUAUUAUGAAAAAUAAAAUUUUUAGAAAGUAAUUUUUAUUUAUUGUAUCUUGUGUAUCAGAGUUUAUUAAAAAUUUUUAAUUUAUGAAUUAAUUUCUCGAAUUUAAAAGAGUUAAAUAAUUAUUAAAGUUAUUGUAGCAAAAUUAUUUUAAAUAAUUAUUUAGAAAUGAAAUGUUAAUCGUUUUUAAAUAUAUCUAGUUUUUAUAGAAAAAAAUUUAAUUUUAAAUUUAAAAAUUAUUUAAUUAAUUUAUUAAUUAAAUAGUUACUUAAAUUUUAUAAUUUAAGGGAUAAGCUUUAAAUUAAAUUUUUAUAAUAUUAAAUUUUUAUUUUGAAAAUUUUAUAAUUUAUAUUGUUAAUAAAUUUUAUUUUGUUAUAAAUAAUUUCAUUUUUUUUAAAAUUUAAAUUUUAUUUAAUUUUUUAUAUAAAAUUUAUUUAUAAUUAUAUAAAGUUAAUUAUAAUGAUAAAAUUAGUAUAUUAUUUAAUAUUAAAUUAAAAUUAAUUUUUGAUUAAUAAUUAAAUUAAUUAAAAGGAAUUCGGCAAAUAUUUAUUUUCACUUGUUUAUCAAAAACAUGUCUUUUUGUUAUUUAAUUUAAAGUCUAAUCUGCCCACUGAUUUAUAAAAAUUGAAGGGCUGCAGUAUAUUGACUGUACAAAGGUAGCAUAAUCAUUAGUCUCUUAAUUGGUGACUUGUAUGAAAGAUUGGAUGAAAAAUAUACUGUCUCUUAAUUAAUAUAUAGAAUUUAAUUUUUUAUUUAAAAAGUUAAAAUAACUUAAAAAGACGAGAAGACCCUAUAGAGUUUAAUAAAUUAUUUUAUGAAAGUUUUAUUUAUAUUUAUUAAUAAUUUUAUAAAUUUAUUUAUUUAGUUGGGGUGAUAAAAAAAUAAAUUUAACUUUUUUUAAGUAAUUUACAUGGAUAAGUGAUUAAU